Molecule: non-coding RNA, 451 nt
Organism: Xyrichtys novacula (pearly razorfish)
Lineage: Eukaryota; Metazoa; Chordata; Actinopteri; Labriformes; Labridae
Source: the annotation of a GenBank genome assembly
UCAGUCUGGAAUAUACUGCAGUUUAUUAACUCUAAUAGAUGUGCUAUAUUAAAUAUUAAAAACAUCACGUAAAAAUGGCCACAAACAUACGCAGCAGCAGCAGCAGAAGCGGGAGUUUGGGCUGAACUGAGCGGGACACUGUUGUGCUUUUAAUUUCUACUCAGCUGGGGACAAAAGAUAGAUAAUCCCUUUGCUACACACAUCAUCGUACGAGAAACGAAGCCACAGACACGCUGGAGUGUUUACCUGUCUUUAUGUUAAAGGUUACAGGAGAGACCGCACUCACCACGAUGUACAGGUGAACUCAGGAAUAUCAGGAAAUUCAAAGUAGGGCGAUUAAAGAGAGACUUAAAGGGAUAUUUCAGCGUAAAAUUGAGUUAGGGUCAAACACACCCCCUCGAGAGAUGAAUGUAUGAAUACCAACUUUAGUAACGACCGCACGAUAGCAAUA